Molecule: ribosomal RNA, 446 nt
Filed under: uncultured bacterium
Lineage: Bacteria
Description: partial 16S ribosomal RNA
Rfam family: Bacterial small subunit ribosomal RNA
Source: RNAcentral
CCUACGGGGGGCAGCAGUCGAGAAUCAUUCACAAUGGGGGAAACCCUGAUGGUGCGACGCCGCGUGGGGGAAUGAAGGUCUUCGGAUUGUAAACCCCUGUCAUGUGGGAGCAAAUUAAAAAGAUAGUACCACAAGAGGAAGAGACGGCUAACUCUGUGCCAGCAGCCGCGGUCAUACAGAGGUCUCAAGCGUUGUUCGGAAUCACUGGGCGUAAAGCGUGCGUAGGCUGUUUCGUAAGUCGUGUGUGAAAGGCGCGGGCUCAACCCGCGGACGGCACAUGAUACUGCGAGGCUAGAGUAAUGGAGGUGGGACCGGAAUUCUCGGUGUAGCAGUGAAAUGCGUAGAUAUCGAGAGGAACACUCGUGGCGAAGGCGGGUUCCUGGACAUUAACUGACGCUGAGGCACGAAGGCCAGGGGAGCGAAAGGGAUUAGAUACCCUUGUAGUC